Molecule: unclassified non-coding RNA, 331 nt
Filed under: soil metagenome
Description: partial contains 5.8S ribosomal RNA, internal transcribed spacer 2, and large subunit ribosomal RNA
Rfam family: 5.8S ribosomal RNA (bases 1-120)
Source: RNAcentral
GAUGAAGAACGCAGCGAAAUGCGAUAAGUAAUGUGAAUUGCAGAAUUCAGUGAAUCAUCGAAUCUUUGAACGCACAUUGCGCCCCCUGGUAUUCCGGGGGGCAUGCCUGUUCGAGCGUCAUUUCACCACUCAAGCCUCGCUUGGUAUUGGGCAACGCGGUCUGCCGCGUGCCUCAAAUCGUCCGGCUGGGUCUUCUGUCCCCUAAGCGUUGUGGAAACUAUUCGCUAAAGGGUGUUCGGGAGGCUACGCCGUAAAACAACCCCAUUUCUAAGGUUGACCUCGGAUCAGGUAGGGAUACCCGCUGAACUUAAGCAUAUCAAUAAGCGGAGGA